Molecule: ribosomal RNA, 254 nt
Filed under: uncultured bacterium
Lineage: Bacteria
Description: partial 16S ribosomal RNA
Rfam family: Bacterial small subunit ribosomal RNA
Source: RNAcentral
UACGGGGGGAGCAAGCGUUGUUCGGAUUUACUGGGCGUAAAGGGCGCGUAGGCGGCCACCGCAAGUCGACUGUGAAAUCUCCGGGCUUAACCCGGAAAGGUCAGCCGAUACUGCGGGGCUAGAGUGCAGAAGGGGCAACUGGAAUUCUCGGUGUAGCGGUGAAAUGCGUAGAUAUCGAGAGGAACACCUGCGGCGAAGGCGUCCAUCUGGCCCGUUACUGACGCUGAUGCGCGAAAGCUAGGGGAGCAAACGGG